This 318-nucleotide ribosomal RNA is filed under the name Triticum aestivum (bread wheat). RNAcentral's name for it is "partial small subunit ribosomal RNA". The record is from RNAcentral. Lineage: Eukaryota; Viridiplantae; Streptophyta; Magnoliopsida; Poales; Poaceae.
AUGGUUCAGGUUGCACACUGCGACACGGCGGCCGAAGCAUGGGUCGCCAUCCGGGAGAUCUUUAUCUCCCAAACUCAGGCACACGUCGUCAACACCAGAAUCGCCCUUUCCACCACCAAGAAGGGCAACUCAACGAUGUCCGAGUACAUCGGGCGCAUGAAGGCGCUCGGUGAUGAGAUGGCAUCGGUGGGCAAGCCGCUCACCAACAACGACAUGGUGUCCUACAUCCUGGCGGGACUCGACUACGACUACGUGUCCUUCGUCUCCACGAUCUGCGCUCGUACUCAGCAAAUCAAGGUGAGCGAGCUUUACUCAUAG